GAUGAACGCUGGCGGCGUGCCUAAUACAUGCAAGUCGUGCGGCAGCGAGCCCUUCGGGGUGUCGGCGAGCGGCGGACGGCUGAGUAACACGUAGGAACAUACCCCAAAGUGAGGGAUAACUGCUCGAAAGAGUAGCCAAUACCGAAUGUGGUCUAAGGAUUAAAGCUUCGGCGCUUUGGGAAUGGCCUGCGUUCGAUUAGCUAGAUGGUGAGGUAAAGGCUCACCAUGGCGACGAUCGAUAGCUGGUCUGAGAGGAUGAUCAGCCAGACUGGGACUGAGACACGGCCCAGACUCCUACGGGAGGCAGCAGUAGGGAAUUUUCCACAAUGGGCGAAAGCCUGAUGGAGCAACGCCGCGUGCAGGAUGAAUGCCUUAGGGUUGUAAACUGCUUUUAUACGUGACGAUUAUGACGGUAGCAUAUGAAUAAGGAUCGGCUAACUCCGUGCCAGCCGCCGCGGUAA
RNAcentral lists this ribosomal RNA (461 nucleotides) under uncultured bacterium. RNAcentral's name for it is "partial 16S ribosomal RNA". It matches the Rfam family "Bacterial small subunit ribosomal RNA", at positions 28 to 523 of the family's 1533-position model. The record is from RNAcentral.